Molecule: ribosomal RNA, 527 nt
Filed under: Aspergillus fumigatus
Lineage: Eukaryota; Fungi; Ascomycota; Eurotiomycetes; Eurotiales; Aspergillaceae
Description: eukaryotic LSU rRNA
Rfam family: 5.8S ribosomal RNA (bases 164-317)
Source: RNAcentral
GGGUCACCUCCCACCCGUGUCUAUCGUACCUUGUUGCUUCGGCGGGCCCGCCGUUUCGACGGCCGCCGGGGAGGCCUUGCGCCCCCGGGCCCGCGCCCGCCGAAGACCCCAACAUGAACGCUGUUCUGAAAGUAUGCAGUCUGAGUUGAUUAUCGUAAUCAGAAACUUUCAACAACGGAUCUCUUGGUUCCGGCAUCGAUGAAGAACGCAGCGAAAUGCGAUAAGUAAUGUGAAUUGCAGAAUUCAGUGAAUCAUCGAGUCUUUGAACGCACAUUGCGCCCCCUGGUAUUCCGGGGGGCAUGCCUGUCCGAGCGUCAUUGCUGCCCUCAAGCACGGCUUGUGUGUUGGGCCCCCGUCCCCCUCUCCCGCCGACGGGCCCGAAAGGCAGCGGCGGCACCGCGUCCGGUCCUCGAGCGUAUGGGGCUUUGUCACCUGCUCUGUAGGCCCGGCCGGCGCCAGCCGACACCCAACUUUAUUUUUCUAAGGUUGACCUCGGAUCAGGUAGGGAUACCCGCUGAACUUAAGCA